Molecule: ribosomal RNA, 254 nt
Filed under: uncultured bacterium
Lineage: Bacteria
Description: partial 16S ribosomal RNA
Rfam family: Bacterial small subunit ribosomal RNA
Source: RNAcentral
UACGUAGGUGGCAAGCGUUGUCCGGAUUUACUGGGCGUAAAGAGCGCGCAGGCGGUCGUUUAAGUCGAAUGUGAAAGCCCCCGGCUCAACUGGGGAGGGUCAUUCGAUACUGAUCGACUUGAAGGCAGGAGAGGGAAGUGGAAUUCCGGGUGUAGUGGUGAAAUGCGUAGAUAUCCGGAGGAACACCAGUGGCGAAGGCGACUUCCUGGCCUGUUCUUGACGCUGAGGCGCGAAAGCUGGGGGAGCAAACGGGG